UACGAAGGGGGCUAGCGUUGCUCGGACUCACUGGGCGUAAAGGGUGCGUAGGCGGGUCUUUAAGUCAGAGGUGAAAUCCUGGAGCUCAACUCCAGAACUGCCUUUGAUACCGAGGAUCUUGAGUACGGGAGAGGUGAGUGGAACUGCGAGUGUAGAGGUGAAAUUCGUAGAUAUUCGCAAGAACACCAGUGGCGAAGGCGGCUCACUGGCCCGUUACUGACGCUGAGGCACGAAAGCGUGGGGAGCAAACAGG
Molecule: ribosomal RNA, 253 nt
Filed under: uncultured bacterium
Lineage: Bacteria
Description: partial 16S ribosomal RNA
Rfam family: Bacterial small subunit ribosomal RNA
Source: RNAcentral